CUCUUUCUUUUUGUUUCUCAGAGAUGGGUUUUCACCAUGUUGCCCAGGCUAGUCUUAAACUCCUGGGCUCAAGCAAUCUUCCCACCUUUGCCUCCCAAACCGUUGGGAUUGCAGGCAUGAGCUACUGCUCCUGGCUCCAUUUAUUAUCUUUUAUACUGUAUUUUUACUGUACCUUUUCUGUGUUUAGAUAACAAAUCAUUACUAUUGUGUUACAGUUGCCUACAGUAUUCACUACAGUAACAUGCUGUACAGGUUUGUAGCCCAGGAGCAACAGGCUAGACCAUACAGCCUAGGUGUGUAGGCUAUCCCUCCCAUCUAGGUUUAUGUAAAGACACUCUAUGAUGUUCCCACAAGGAUGAAACUUCCUAUGACACAUUUCUCAGAACAUAUCCUGUUGUUAAGUGACACAUGACUGUAUGCUAAUCAAUAGCCUGCUUCUCUGGGCUUUCCACACCUGAACUCCCAAUGAGAAAAAGGGAAAGAAGAAAAAAUUAGAGCAACUCUCUUCAUCCCUCAUCUUUGCUGGUGUCUCACUGUCAGUGAGGCCCCUUCACACCCAUCACAUGAGAGAGUCAUUGCUGUCAAUUCUGUAUUACAGAUGUUCGAAGGGAGGGUUGCAAAUGCCAAGUGAGCUGUCAAUGGUCUACUGCUUAUUGGUAGCUGAGCUGACAAUCGAACUAGCCAACUUCACUGGGAAGAACAGGUGCUGAUACGGAAGGAGGGGAAGCAGACCUCUGAAGCAUUGAGUGCAAAGGAACAGGAUGCUCACAUUUGCAACACCCAGCAACUCUUAUCCUCUCCAGAAUGUUCUCCAGGGAGAACAAGACUUGACUGAUUCCUCAGAAGAGUGCUGCAUCCAUUUUACAAGCGGACAAGCCAAGUCCUUAGAAGGCCUGGGACUGGUCCAAGGAUGGGUGGCAGGUGAUCUGAAGCCUCUAGGCCCCCAGCCUGAGGUGGCCUGUUCCCUCAAUGGAGCCACUCCAGCUCUGGCAAGGGCAGGUGUGGUGGCGCUGGUGCCUGCUGUGGGAGUACAGUGGGCCUUUGUGCCAGGCGGGCACCACCCCCUGGCUGGCCCCUCCCCAUUCACAGGACAACUCUUACCUGCCCAGCCACCACCCCAGCCAACAGCUCAGCCGGCUGCUCCUUCCUGGGCUCCACGCCCAGAGCUGCUUCCCGAAGGUGCAGCCUGCAAGGCAUCGCAGGGGCCCCGCGCUACUGCCCUGCUCCCUCAACGUCCCAGGUCCCCUCCCCCAGUGCUGAUCAUUAACCAGGAGGCCGUAUAA
Molecule: long non-coding RNA, 1283 nt
Filed under: Rhinopithecus bieti (black snub-nosed monkey)
Lineage: Eukaryota; Metazoa; Chordata; Mammalia; Primates; Cercopithecidae
Description: lncRNA (ENSRBIG00000045236.1)
Source: RNAcentral